GACGAACGCUGGCGGCGUGCUUAACACAUGCAAGUCGAACGGAAAGGCCCUGCUUUUGUGGGGUGCUCGAGUGGCGAACGGGUGAGUAACACGUGAGUAACCUGCCCUUGACUUUGGGAUAACUUCAGGAAACUGGGGCUAAUACCGGAUAGGAGCUCCUGCUGCAUGGUGGGGGUUGGAAAGUUUCGGCGGUUGGGGAUGGACUCGCGGCUUAUCAGCUUGUUGGUGGGGUAGUGGCUUACCAAGGUUUUGACGGGUAGCCGGCCUGGGAGGGUGACCGGCCACAUUGGGACUGAGAUACGGCCCAGACUCCUACGGGAGGCAGCAGUGGGGAAUAUGGCACAAUGGGCGGAAGCCUGAUGCAGCAACGCCGCGUGCGGGAUGACGGCCUUCGGGUUGUAAACCGCUUUCGCCUGUGACGAAGCGUGAGUGACGGUAAUGGGUAAAGAAGCACCGGCUAACUACGUG
RNAcentral lists this ribosomal RNA (468 nucleotides) under uncultured bacterium. Its description in RNAcentral is "partial 16S ribosomal RNA". It matches the Rfam family "Bacterial small subunit ribosomal RNA", at positions 28 to 507 of the family's 1533-position model. The record is from RNAcentral.